This 804-nucleotide ribosomal RNA is filed under the name uncultured crenarchaeote. RNAcentral describes it as "bacterial SSU rRNA". It matches the Rfam family "Archaeal small subunit ribosomal RNA", at positions 48 to 859 of the family's 1478-position model. The record is from RNAcentral. Lineage: Archaea; Thermoproteati; Thermoproteota.
GCCAUGCGAGUCGACAUAGCAAUUAUGUGGCAUACGGCUCAGUAACACGUAGUCAACAUGCCCAGGGGACGUGGAUAACCUCGGGAAACUGAGGAUAAACCGCGAUAGGUCAUCACUUCUGGAAUGGGUAAUGACUUAAACCUAUAUGGCCCCUGGAUUGGACUGCGGCCGAUCAGGCUGUUGGUGAGGUAAUGGCCCACCAAACCUGUAACCGGUACGGGCUCUGAGAGGAGGAGCCCGGAGAUGGGCACUGAGACAAGGGCCCAGGCCCUAUGGGGCGCAGCAGGCGCGAAACCUCUGCAAUAGGCGAAAGCUUGACAGGGUUACUCUGAGUGAUUUCCGUUAAGGAGAUCUUUUGGCACCUCUAAAAAUGGUGCAGAAUAAGGGGUGGGCAAGUCUGGUGUCAGCCGCCGCGGUAAUACCAGCACCCCGAGUGGUCGGGACGUUUAUUGGGCCUAAAGCAUCCGUAGCCGGUUCUACAAGUCUUCCGUUAAAUCCACCUGCUUAACAGAUGGGCUGCGGAAGAUACUAUAGAGCUAGGAGGCGGGAGAGGCAAGCGGUACUCGAUGGGUAGGGGUAAAAUCCGUUGAUCCAUUGAAGACCACCAGUGGCGAAGGCGGCUUGCCAGAACGCGCUCGACGGUGAGGGAUGAAAGCUGGGGGAGCAAACCGGAUUAGAUACCCGGGUAGUCCCAGCUGUAAACGAUGCAGACUCGGUGAUGAGUUGGCUUAUUGCUAACUCAGUGCCGCAGGGAAGCCGUUAAGUUUGCCGCCUGGGGAGUACGGUCGCAAGACUGAAACUUAA